UACGUAGGGUGCAAGCGUUGUCCGGAAUUAUUGGGCGUAAGGAGCUCGUAGGCGGUUUGUUGCGUCGGCUGUGAAAUCCCGAGGCUCAACCUCGGGUCUGCAGUCGAUACGAGCAAACUAGAGUGUUGCAGGGGAGACUGGAAUUCCUGGUGUAGCGGUGAAAUGCGCAGAUAUCGGGAAGAACACCCGUGGCGAAGGCGGCUCUCUGGGACGGUACUGACGCUGAGACGCGAAAGCGUGGGGAGCGAACAGG
This 253-nucleotide ribosomal RNA is filed under the name uncultured bacterium. Its description in RNAcentral is "partial 16S ribosomal RNA". It matches the Rfam family "Bacterial small subunit ribosomal RNA", at positions 524 to 776 of the family's 1533-position model. The record is from RNAcentral.